Molecule: long non-coding RNA, 3634 nt
Filed under: Sus scrofa (pig)
Lineage: Eukaryota; Metazoa; Chordata; Mammalia; Artiodactyla; Suidae
Description: lncRNA (ENSSSCG00015066086.1)
Source: RNAcentral
CUUUGAUAGAUGAAAGCUCUCGGCUGUUUUCAGUUUUCCUUCCCUGUAAGUCACCCACUCUCCCUACUGGCCGGCAUCUGAGGUCGCCCCGCUACGCAGAGCUGGUUACCCAACCUCUGGCGACGACAGACAGGCCCAGAGCCUCUGGAGUUCAUCUGUACCACUGACAAGCCCAGGAUUUAUUUCCCUUUGCUCUAAUAAAGCUUGUUUCCUUCCUCAACACGAUACCGUUUCUUUUUGUAAUGGAAAGGGCUCGCAUUGCUGUUCCUCACCCACUGAAACCGCAAACGAUCACAUGGCUUACUCUGGUUCAUUCAGCAAACGGGUAUUAUUGUCACCAGGGGCUAGUCUUUCUGUUUUUUUUUUUUUUUUUUUAGAACCCAACUCAAGAAAAAGCUAAAUAUAGUCGGUUAUCAGUAAGAAGCAAAUAGGAAUCAAAGUCCAGGAAUUUCUGCUUCUUAGUUCUACGAUCAGCACCUGCCCAAACUAGGAACAUUUUUCAAUACUGUUGCUGUAUGUUGACACCAUGAGUUUUUUUUUUUUUCCCUCUCACAGAAGCUUUCAGCAGCAAACGGCUUUCCUUCUAGAGGACUCUACAUUAAAUCGGGGCAAAUAUCAGGGCAAACUAAAUUCCUCCCUCAUCACUUCCCUGGGUUGGUGACCUACACAGAAGAGCAGAGCAGUAACUGGACCAGCCAGAUCCAGCCCAGCUGAGCCCACGCACAGGAAGCGUGGGCUGUGAAGUGGCCACACCCCCAGCCGCUGCUCCAGAAGGCUCUCCCCGCACAGGCCUAGCCUCACAAGCGUGUGAGUUGGGAACACGCCACCGAGGGAGGCGGAGAGGCCGCGGACCACUUCUCCUGCAGCAGCAAGGCGCUUCCGGUGAUGUGCACGGCAAGGCGUCCCUGAAGCCAACAGCCCAUUACAGGGAGAGUUAACCCAUAAAGCGGGAUGGAUCACAAGAAGGAGCUCCAGUCCCAUUUGGUUUAAACAAACAGCUCGGAGUCACAGAAAGCACCAGGUUUGCAUCUGAGAGCUGUGUUCACGCCCGCUUCUUUCACAAGAUGCUGAUGGGUACGCGAUGAGCCCACUCUACCUGGGCUAUAGUUUGAUCCGCUCAGUGUUCAUAACCUGGGGGAUGAGAAAACACCUCCCAGAUCCACCAAGGGAAACGGUACCACUGCAUUAAAUAGGCAAGAAGUUCAGGAUAAGCAUACUUUAGGGCUUUACACAAUGGAAUGACGCUGCUGCACGACAGACAACAAAACACAUAACGUGCAUGUAUGAAUAUGAUGGAUGCGUUCUUUGCAUUCGCAGCAAGAAAGUGGAAACAACUUAAGCUUCUUUUCUUGUGUCCUGAAGUAAAAUUCAUGAAGAACUUCUCCAAACAUUCCUCACCAAAACCCUCUCACACUUACAAAGAGGUUCUAAAACUAGAGGUGAAGCAAAACUCUCUAGAGCUGUGGCUCAGACACUUGAGCAUCACUUCAGAGUCAUUUCAAAUACUCAGGAGAUUUGUAUACACAUUAAUGUUUGAGAAGCACCGGCCUAUAGCACUUUUUCAAUUAAGCUUUUCCUUUUUUUUCUGUAAAAAAAAAUUUUUUUUUUAACUGAGGUAUAGGUUUGUUUUGUUUUUAUGGCCCCACCUGCAGCAUAUGGAAGUUCCCAGUCCAGGGGUCGAAUUGGAGCUGCAGCUGAGGCCUAUGCUGAAGCUUGUGGCAACACCAGAUCCUUAACCCACGGAGCGAGGCCAGGGAUCAACCCUCCAUCCUCACGGAAACAAUGUCGGGGUCUUAGCCCAAGGAGCCGCAACGGGAACUCCUCGAGUAAGCUUUAAUUACAUACAAGAGCUAGACUCUGAGUGAACUCCAUGUUACAGUUCAUUAGAACAGGGUGGAGGCUGCUUUGUCAGAUACGAGGAGGCUUUCCUUCAUCUGUGGCUUGACGCUACCUAAGCAACCAUCGCCAGUGUCGGGGUUUAGCACACCACACGCACUGAAGGCAAAGGGUACGGGGAUGUUCUCAGGUCGUCAGCAUUAAUGUCUCAACAGGACUUACUUAAGAAACUAGUCCUCAAAGUCAGAACUUCUAAAUUUUGUCGUCAGUGCUUCUCAAGCUUUGGCAGGCCUGAGAAUCACCAGGGGAAUUUGUUUUAAAAGGAAGAUAGUAAGGUCUCACCACCCAGGAGUCCUAUUAGGUUCAUCAGGAGUGAUUCUAGCAAUUCUAAGAAACGUGACAUCGGGGCUGGGAUUAGAAGGCACCCAGGGCACAUUUAGGGAAGUACUUACCCUCAGGUGCAAGCAAAUGCAAGACUGCCACCUGAGCAAACCUGACUGUAUGUGCCUCCUUAAAUGUCACAUUCAGGGCAUCUCGCUGGACUCAUCCUGGUCUUGGGCUUGUAUUGGGUGAGUCCAUGGACCAGCAGCACCAGCACAGUCUGGAGCCUUUUUAGAAAUACAGAAUCGUGGCCUAACUCCAGGACCACUGAAUCAGAAUCUGCAGGUUAACAAGAUUCUCAAGUUACUCUUUCAUUAAUUUUUUUUAGGGCCGCACCCGUGGCACAUGGAGGUUCCCAGGCUAGGGUCCAAUCGGAGCUACAGCUGCUGGCCUACGCCACAGCCACAGCAACGCGGGAUCCUCAACCCACUGAGUGAGGCCAGGGAUCAAACCCACGUCCUCAUGGAUGCUAGUCAGCUUCAUUACCGCUAAGCCAUGACGGGAAAUCCUCUCAGGUUAUUUCUUGUGCACACUGAAGUUUGAGAAACACUGAAAAUAAGGGGAUGCCCAAACAAAGUCUUGCAACUGACACGAAAAUGCUAAGCUCUUUGUAACACAACAUGAUACAGGAACGUGAGCAGCGGCUGCCCACUGAGCUCAAAGGACAGCCCUACACUGACCAGCAGUUUUGUCGCUCUCUCUUAACCCCUGGCCUGAAUAACGACAUGAAAGAGAUGCUUGUUAAUCUGCAGGUGGAAUAAAACAAGAGGCUGCUGGUGCAAAAAGAAAGAACCAGGCCAUCUUGACAGGCCGGAGGACAGGUCGCACGCUGAACUAUAAUAAGUGUAGGAAAAAUUUUACACUUAAGCUAAAAAUUUCAAUAAUGAAUGUAUAUAAGAUGUGUGACAGUUUGCCUGGCAGCAAAACCUAUGAAAGAUCCUGGGAAUAAGUCCGGAAGUAAAUCAUGCAUUUAAUAUAAUGGCAUUUCACAUCAGUGGGAGAAAAUGAAUAAUUUAAUAAAUGGUGUUGGAAUAAUCGGGUAGCUAACCGGGAAAAAAAAUGAAAGUGUACCUCCACCCGCACGUCUUACAGCAAAAUGAAUUCCCGAAGGAUCGAAGAGUUAAACAUAAAAGCAAAUCUAUUACAGUAUGAGAAGAAAAUAUGAGGAAAACUUUCAAAAAAUAACCUCAGAGUGGGUGAGGCCUCUCUAAGCAAGAACAACAUCCGAAUGAUAUAAACAAAACCCAGAGGCUCUUUUUUAAAAGUGGAGACCUUUGACUGUAUCAAGAAAAGCACCUGCUGAGAACUAUGUCUAGAUACUCAUGCUGCAACAGAACGAAGGGUGGGGAAAAAAAAAUGUAAUGUAUACAUGUAAGGAUAACUUGAUCCCCUUGCUGUACAGUGGGAAAAUAAAAUU